UACGUAGGGGGCAAGCGUUGUCCGGAAUCAUUGGGCGUAAAGCGCGUGUAGGCGGCUUGGUAAGUCCGCUCUGAAAGCCCGGGGCUCAACCCCGGGAGGCGGGUGGAUACUGUCAAGCUCGAGUCCGGAAGAGGCGAGUGGAAUUCCUGGUGUAGCGGUGAAAUGCGCAGAUAUCGGGAAGAACACCCGUGGCGAAGGCGGCUCUCUGGGACGGUACUGACGCUGAGACGCGAAAGCGUGGGGAGCGAACAGG
This 253-nucleotide ribosomal RNA is filed under the name uncultured bacterium. RNAcentral describes it as "partial 16S ribosomal RNA". It matches the Rfam family "Bacterial small subunit ribosomal RNA", at positions 524 to 776 of the family's 1533-position model. The record is from RNAcentral.